CCUACGGGCGGCAGCAGUAGGGAAUAUUGCUCAAUGGGGGAAACUCUGAAGCAGCAACGCCGCGUGGAGGAUGAAGGUCUUCGGAUUGUAAACUCCUGUCGUUAGAGAAGAUAAUGACGGUAUCUAACGAAUAAGCACCGGCUAACUACGUGCCAGCAGCCGCGGUAAUACGGAGGGUGCAAGCGUUAGUCGGAAUCACUGGGCGUAAAGAGCGCGUAGGCGGGAUAGCAAGUCAGAUGUGAAAUCCUAUGGCUUAACCAUAGAACUGCAUUUGAAAUUGUUAUUCUAGAGUAUGGGAGAGGUAGGUGGAAUUCUUGGUGUAGGGGUAAAAUGCGUAGAGAUCAGGAGGAAUACUCGUUGCGAAGGCGACCUGCUAGAACAUAACUGACGCUGAUGCGCGAAAGCGUGGGGAGCAAACAGGAUUAGAUACCCGUGUAGUC
RNAcentral lists this ribosomal RNA (440 nucleotides) under uncultured bacterium. RNAcentral describes it as "partial 16S ribosomal RNA". It matches the Rfam family "Bacterial small subunit ribosomal RNA", at positions 338 to 795 of the family's 1533-position model. The record is from RNAcentral.